GGACUCGUAGCUCAGCUGGUAGGGCGUGCGUAGGCGGCGUCCAUGCGUGGGUUCGAAUCCCACCGAGGCCA
RNAcentral lists this transfer RNA (71 nucleotides) under Echinostoma caproni. It matches the Rfam family "tRNA". From Rfam's summary of the family: Transfer RNA (tRNA) molecules are approximately 80 nucleotides in length. The record is from Rfam by way of RNAcentral. Lineage: Eukaryota; Metazoa; Platyhelminthes; Trematoda; Plagiorchiida; Echinostomatidae.